GCACAGAGUUAGCCGUCCCUUCCUCUUCCGCUACAAUCAGCUCACCGGUUGUUAACCGGUAAGGUUUGUUCGCAAAUGACAGGGGUUUACGGGCCGAAGCCAUUCAUCCCCCACGCGGCGUCGCUCCAUCAGGCUUUCGCCCAUUGUGAAAAAUUCUCGACUGCUGCCACCCGUAGGUGUCUGGACCGUGUCUCAGUUCCAGUGUGGCUGGUCGUCCUCUCAGACCAGCUAUCCGUCUUAGCCUUGGUGAGCCGUUACCUCACCAACUAGCUGAUAGACCGCGGGCUUAUCAAGAAGCGCCAGGCCUUACGGUCCCCAACUUUGAACUCCAAGAGAUGCCCCUCGGAAGUCACAUCCGGCAUUAGCUCGCCUUUCAGCAAGUUAUUCCAGACUUCAUGGCAAAUUACCCACGUGUUACGCACCCUUGCGCCGCUGAACAACCAGAAUAUUGCUACCCUGAUUAUCCCGCUCGACUUGCAUGUCUUAUCCACGCCGCCAGCGUUCGUU
Molecule: ribosomal RNA, 507 nt
Filed under: uncultured bacterium
Lineage: Bacteria
Description: partial 16S rRNA
Source: RNAcentral